UACGAAGGGGGCUAGCGUUGUUCGGAUUUACUGGGCGUAAAGCGUACGUAGGCGGAUUGUUAAGUGAGAGGUGAAAUCCCAAGGCUCAACCUUGGAACUGCCUUUCAUACUGGCAAUCUCGAGUUCGGAAGAGGUGAGUGGAAUUCCUAGUGUAGCAGUGAAAUGCGUAGAUAUUAGGAAGAACACCGGUGGCGAAGGCGGCUCACUGGCUCGAUACUGACGCUGAGGUGCGAAAGCGUGGGGAGCAAACGGG
Molecule: ribosomal RNA, 253 nt
Filed under: uncultured bacterium
Lineage: Bacteria
Description: partial 16S ribosomal RNA
Rfam family: Bacterial small subunit ribosomal RNA
Source: RNAcentral